UAAAGACUGUAGAGGCAGCUGGUGUUCUCACGCAAAAUGGCCAAGGUGUGGGAGACUGGAUCUUUGACUCUGGCAAUCUCUGGG
RNAcentral lists this microRNA precursor (84 nucleotides) under Chlorocebus sabaeus (green monkey). RNAcentral describes it as "miRNA (ENSCSAG00000020370.1)". Lineage: Eukaryota; Metazoa; Chordata; Mammalia; Primates; Cercopithecidae. The record is from RNAcentral.